GCCUGACGGGCUCAGUCCAUAGAGCGUGUGACUCUUGAUCUUGGGGUCGUGAGUUCAAACCUCACGUUGGGAG
This 73-nucleotide transfer RNA is filed under the name Ailuropoda melanoleuca (giant panda). It matches the Rfam family "tRNA". Rfam says of the family: Transfer RNA (tRNA) molecules are approximately 80 nucleotides in length. Their secondary structure includes four short double-helical elements and three loops (D, anti-codon, and T loops). Lineage: Eukaryota; Metazoa; Chordata; Mammalia; Carnivora; Ursidae. The record is from Rfam by way of RNAcentral.